Molecule: ribosomal RNA, 460 nt
Filed under: uncultured bacterium
Lineage: Bacteria
Description: partial 16S ribosomal RNA
Rfam family: Bacterial small subunit ribosomal RNA
Source: RNAcentral
CCUACGGGUGGCAGCAGUGAGGAAUAUUGGUCAAUGGACGCAAGUCUGAACCAGCCAUGCCGCGUGCAGGAUGACGGCUCUAUGAGUUGUAAACUGCUUUUGUACGAGGGUAAACGCAGAUACGCGUAUCUGUCUGAAAGUAUCGUACGAAUAAGGAUCGGCUAAAUCCGUGCCAGCAGCCGCGGUAAUACGGAGGAUUCAAGCGUUAUCCGGAUUUAUUGGGUUUAAAGGGUGCGUAGGCGGUCGGAUAAGUUAGAGUGUAAAUCCCGAGGCUCAACUUCGGAACUGCAUUUGAUACUGUUCGGCUAGAGAGUAGUAGCGGUAGGCGGAAUGCAUGGUGUAGCGGUGAAAUGCUUAGAGAUCAUACAGAACACCGAUUGCGAAGGCAGCUUACCAAGCUACGUCUGACGUUGAGGCACGAAGGCGUGGGGAGCAAACAGGAUUAGAUACCCCUGUAGUC